RNAcentral lists this ribosomal RNA (236 nucleotides) under uncultured bacterium. RNAcentral's name for it is "partial 16S ribosomal RNA". It matches the Rfam family "Bacterial small subunit ribosomal RNA", at positions 98 to 334 of the family's 1533-position model. The record is from RNAcentral.
CCGCACGGGUGAGUAACACGUAUCCAACCUGCCGUCUACUCUUAAACAGCCUUCUGAAAGGAAGAUUAAUACAAGAUGGCAUCAUGAGUCCGCAUGUUCACAUGAUUAAAGGUAUUCCGGUAGACGAUGGGGAUGCGUUCCAUUAGAUAGUAGGCGGGGUAACGGCCCACCUAGUCUUCGAUGGAUAGGGGUUCUGAGAGGAAGGUCCCCCACAUUGGAACUGAGACACGGUCCAA